RNAcentral lists this long non-coding RNA (549 nucleotides) under Pan troglodytes (chimpanzee). Its description in RNAcentral is "long non-coding RNA NONPTRT015277". The record is from RNAcentral. Lineage: Eukaryota; Metazoa; Chordata; Mammalia; Primates; Hominidae.
CAUGACAGUGAUUCUACAGGACAUAGAAUGGAAGCAGCUGACCAUGAGCACGGUUGCUGUCAACAGGUCCUGAAGAACAUCAAGGAAAAUAGUAAGAGCAGAAAAACCUUACAAGUUGGUUACCUUUCAUUUUUUAAAUUACUUUGCAAUCUAAUUAUACUGAUGAGGUUCAUUAAUGUCAGAUUAAUUUUGUAUGUUUUACAAGACUAAAAAAAAAAACAACCCAUGGAGUGUGGGCCAAUGAGAUGUGUUUAAAGAGAAGAGGACGUUGAUGAAGGGCUUGCUCCUGACCUGCUUGAAGUAUCUACUAAUGCACUGCAGGGCUGGGUUCAAAUUGAGGUCUGUCUCAUUCCCAAGUUGAGUCUCCUUUCCCCGCUCCAUGCCACUGCUCCCCACAGAGACAUAAAGAGUGUCUUCUGUGACUCAGCUUCCUCUUCUGUAACAGCCUGCCUUCUGGCUUCUGUGUGCACUAAUGAGAGUGAGCCCUCCACCCAGGUGCCAACCUGCACAGUGGGGCAGUGGGCGGGUGGUGUGAGCGCUUCUCCUUUG